GAAGUGCACUCUCCCUUUGCCUCCUGCCAUGAUUGUAAGGUUCCUGAGGCAUCCCCAGAAGCCAAGCUGAUGCUGCCAUGCUUCCUGUACAACCUGUGGAACUAUUCUUGUCACCUGGAAGGAGUUGUUUGGAGUAAUGUAAAGAAGACCUGUCCUAACACUGAAGGAUCAUAAAAAAUUUGCUUUCACCAAGAAGUUCAGAAACUUUAACAUGGCUGAUGUGAUAAAGUGUUGGGUCUUUCUCUGAAGCUCAAGAAGGAAGGAGAAUUUGAGGAAGGCUGAACUCAGAGAAGAGAGGUGAUAAAAUAGAGAGAAAGGUCUCUGGAGAGAUCAGCUACACCGUAGCCAGCUGGGACCUGUGGAGGACGAAGAUCAUUAUGAUAUUCCCUGCAGCAGGAAGCAGCAAAUGAACUGUCAGGCCAGUGAGGUCUGACACCCAAUUAUAAGUUGUCAAAUAUAUACACAGCGUCUUUCCAUCAUACCUACAUUUGUUAACGUUAUUUUUAUUUACCUUCUGUUUUGUGUCCAGCACUGAUAUUGUGCUAAAUCCUUCAGACAAAGUUUGGUGCUUUCAUGACCUGACUAUGUGUUUGCAGUAAGUGUUUGGAGAAAUGAGGGAGAUGAGAGAAGAAGUGCUGUGUAUGUUCACAUUUUGGGGCACAGCAGUCCCCAGAUCAGCUGGGGAAGCAAGGUGAGCUAGUGACAAGUUGGCCAGAAAGUAUAGAUGAGCAGCAAGAAA
Molecule: long non-coding RNA, 739 nt
Filed under: Homo sapiens (human)
Lineage: Eukaryota; Metazoa; Chordata; Mammalia; Primates; Hominidae
Description: HSALNT0374663
Source: RNAcentral